Molecule: long non-coding RNA, 1411 nt
Organism: Sapajus apella (tufted capuchin)
Lineage: Eukaryota; Metazoa; Chordata; Mammalia; Primates; Cebidae
Exons: 2
Source: RefSeq, a predicted model, not a curated record
GCGGCCUGGUCAGCGGUUAGGGAGCCCCGGAAAGGCCAGGAGGAGGAGGGGCAAAGGCCGCUCUGCUCAGCUGGGAAGAGGUGGCUUCGUGCAGCCUACAGGCCAGGGCUUUGGACCGCCAACUCGGCAAGGGUGCGGCAGCGUGCAGGGAUGCAGGGAGCAGAGAGGUCGCGGCACCUGUGCACUCCUCCCACCUCUGCCUCAGUUUACCAUGCACGGCCUCAUUUCGCUCCAUGCUGCCCUGAGAGAAAAACGUUCUCCAGCCGAGAUUUGCUUGAAUUGCAAAUUCAAGUGAUCCCUGGACACAUCCUCCUUGACAGCCCCCAGGAGGCUGUGGGCUGGUUACAUCCCCCUAGACAGAAAAGGAAAAGUAUUCAGGGAGAAGGGAAGGAUGAAGCUUUGCCUUUUCUCAGCCUUGGAGCGUCAAGAAACCGUUACUGGGUGGAGCUGGGGCCAGGGGCCACAGGGUGCUGCGAGAGUCUGAAGAUCAAACUCUGGUGUGACCUGGCUCUAUUGCGGAGCCUCAAAGCCUCCAUCAUGAUGGAGGAAGUUGUCAGUGCCUUCUGUAGAACUUUCUUUCCACCAUUAGAAAAGUAUAAGCCCAAGCCUUGGGGUGAACAACCCCAAAGCUACUCUACCCUGAGCUCCUCUCUUUGGUCCUGCCAGUACUGGUCAAACCACUGCCCCUUUCUGGGCCUCAGUUUCCUGACCUGUCCCAAGGAGAUGCUGACACUUGGCUCCAGGGAGACUGUGAGAACUCAGUGGGGGGAUCUUGCCCCCUCAGAGCCUUGAGGUCUGUUUGGAAAGAAAACAGUUCCUCCAGGCAAGAGGGGAGAAGUCCCCAGGAGGCUGGGAGAGGAGCACCUGCCCUUCUUCUUGUCAGGAAUCACAGGUCCUACCUCCCAGCCCCAUCCACCACUGCAAGUCAGCGUCUGACCCGCUGUGGGUGUUCUGGGACACCCCUAUGUCCUAUGUGAGCUCUAUGCGAGGCCUCAGUCUUCACUUCAGAUGGGAAACUGAGGCCCAGCAAGAGGCAGGGCCUAGUGCAGGGACCACACUGAGUAGGGCUGGUUUACUAUUGCUCCUUGCACAGACUCUGUCAAGCCCUUCCCCCCACCCUCACCUCCCCAUCCCAGCAGGGCCCUUGCCCCCCUCCUUACCCCCUGGCUUCUACAUCUCCCUAAGGGCAGAGCCUAGUGGUGGUUUCUCCCUAGGAUAGGCUCAGCUGCCCUUGGUCCCAUCCCCUGUUAUUUGGGCCCUAACAGAAGCCACCCAAAUUUGAACCAUCUCUUCUCCUCCCUCAAGACCUGAGGGUCUCACGUCCUCUAAAUGAGUCCCCAGACCCCAGAUCCAAGGAUCUGGGGAUCACACUAUUGAUCAGCUGUCACUAAACUUAUUUUACUACGGGCCA